AUUCCUGCUGGAAUAAUGGACUGCCCUGAUCCCAUUCCCACUGGGAUCAGGGAUUGCUGGGAUCCCAUUCCCGCUGGGAUC
Turdus rufiventris (rufous-bellied thrush) is the source of this 81-nucleotide non-coding RNA. The record is from the annotation of a GenBank genome assembly. NCBI's taxonomy places the organism in Eukaryota, Metazoa, Chordata, Aves, Passeriformes, Turdidae.